GCACGGAUGGCUGAGUGGUCUAAAGCGUCAGACUCAAGAUCUGAUGAACGUAAGUUCGCAUGGGUUCGAACCCCAUUUCGUGCAUAUUUAAAAAGGCAUA
RNAcentral lists this transfer RNA (100 nucleotides) under Plasmodium reichenowi. Its description in RNAcentral is "tRNA-Leu". The stretch from base 1 to 84 matches the Rfam family "tRNA". Rfam says of the family: Transfer RNA (tRNA) molecules are approximately 80 nucleotides in length. Their secondary structure includes four short double-helical elements and three loops (D, anti-codon, and T loops). Further hydrogen bonds mediate the characteristic L-shaped molecular structure. tRNAs have two regions of fundamental functional importance: the anti-codon, which is responsible for specific mRNA codon recognition, and the 3' end, to which the tRNAs corresponding amino acid is attached (by aminoacyl-tRNA synthetases). tRNAs cope with the degeneracy of the genetic code in two manners: having more than one tRNA (with a specific anti-codon) for a particular amino acid; and 'wobble' base-pairing, i.e. permitting non-standard base-pairing at the 3rd anti-codon position. The record is from RNAcentral. Lineage: Eukaryota; Apicomplexa; Aconoidasida; Haemosporida; Plasmodiidae.